GUCCAGACUCCUACGGGAGGCAGCAGUGGGGAAUAUUGCACAAUGGGGGAAACCCUGAUGCAGCGACGCCGCGUGAGUGAAGAAGUAAUUCGUUAUGUAAAGCUCUAUCAGCAGGGAAGAAAAUGACGGUACCUGAGUAAGAAGCCCCGGCUAACUACGUGCCAGCAGCCGCGGUAAUACGUAGGGGGCAAGCGUUAUCCGGAUUUACUGGGUGUAAAGGGAGCGUAGACGGCAGUGCAAGUCUGGAGUGAAAGCCCGGGGCCCAACCCCGGGACUGCUCUGGGAACUGUGCGGCUGGAGUGCGGGAGGGGCAGGCGGAAUUCCUGGUGUAGCGGUGAAAUGCGUAGAUAUCAGGAGGAACACCGGCGGCGAAGGCGGCCUGCUGGACCGCGACUGACGUUGAGGCUCGAAAGCGUGGGGAGCAAACAGGAUUAGAUCCCCCCGUA
Molecule: ribosomal RNA, 446 nt
Filed under: uncultured bacterium
Lineage: Bacteria
Description: bacterial SSU rRNA
Rfam family: Bacterial small subunit ribosomal RNA
Source: RNAcentral